This 22-nucleotide small nuclear RNA is filed under the name Arabidopsis thaliana (thale cress). RNAcentral describes it as "snRNA_18385". The record is from RNAcentral. Lineage: Eukaryota; Viridiplantae; Streptophyta; Magnoliopsida; Brassicales; Brassicaceae.
UUCCGCUCUUCUCGCGUAGAGU